Molecule: ribosomal RNA, 253 nt
Filed under: uncultured bacterium
Lineage: Bacteria
Description: partial 16S ribosomal RNA
Rfam family: Bacterial small subunit ribosomal RNA
Source: RNAcentral
UACAGAGGUCUCGAGCGUUAGGCGGAAUCACUGGGCUUAAAGCGUGUGUAGGCGGAUCGUUAAGUGCCUUGUGAAAUCCCACGGCUUAACCGUGGAACUGCUUGGCAUACUGGCGGUCUUGAGCAACCUAGGGGCGAGCGGAACAAAUGGUGGAGCGGUGAAAUGCGUAGAUAUCGUUUGGAACGCCAAUGGUGAAAACAGGUUGCUGGGAGUGUGCUGACGCUGAGACACGAAAGCCAGGGGAGCAAACGGG